RNAcentral lists this ribosomal RNA (468 nucleotides) under uncultured bacterium. RNAcentral describes it as "partial 16S ribosomal RNA". It matches the Rfam family "Bacterial small subunit ribosomal RNA", at positions 28 to 507 of the family's 1533-position model. The record is from RNAcentral.
GACGAACGCUGGCGGCGUGCUUAACACAUGCAAGUCGAACGGAAAGGCCCUGCUUUUGUGGGGUGCUCGAGUGGCGAACGGGUGAGUAACACGUGAGUAACCUGCCCUUGACUUUGGGAUAACCUCAGGAAACUGGGGCUAAUACCGGAUAGGAGCUCCUGCUGCAUGGUGGGGGUUGGAAAGUUUCGGCGGUUGGGGAUGGACUCGCGGCUUAUCAGCUUGUUGGUGGGGUAGUGGCUUACCAAGGCUUUGACGGGUAGCCGGCCUGAGAGGGUGACCGGCCACAUUGGGACUGAGAUACGGCCCAGACUCCUACGGGAGGCAGCAGUGGGGAAUAUUGCACAAUGGGCGGAAGCCUGAUGCAGCAACGCCGCGUGCGGGAUGACGGCCUUCGGGUUGUGAACCGCUUUCGCCUGUGACGAAGCGUGAGUGACGGUAAUGGGUAAAGAAGCACCGGCUAACUACGUG